This is a long non-coding RNA of Bacillus rossius redtenbacheri, 2241 nucleotides long. RefSeq lists it as uncharacterized. The transcript has 9 exons. The record is from RefSeq and is a predicted model, not a curated record. Lineage: Eukaryota; Metazoa; Arthropoda; Insecta; Phasmatodea; Bacillidae.
GUGAAAUUAGAAACAGUCUACCUUCAGGCGGCACAGCUCAAUAGGAGGUUCAUGCUGCCUCUUAAUAUCUUAGAUGGCCCUUGUACUCAUGCCUAAUGGUAUUUACAUAGAGAGGAAAAUUGUAAUUGGCAAAGUAGGUGCCUCUCUUAAAGGACCAACUGUAUGAUAAAACGAUGCACCGAAUUAUAUACACUGCUGCAUGGUAAUUUUUGAAUACUGUAGUUUCAAGAUUCAGUAUAGCUGCAUGUUUACAGCAUAAUUCUUGAAAUUGGAGCAUAGCUGUCAUAUAGGCCCUAACAUCGGAGCUAUGGUGGUUAAGUUUUCAGCGUAAUUGUGCAGAGUAGUGGCUUCUGGGAGAAAAAGGCAGAUAAUAAUUAAGGUUGUGUCCGAAUCCACCUUAGGCCCAUCUUUUACUUUGGAGCCUCAAACCUGUGGAGUUUGUUGUCAUGGAUGUAGACAAACAUUCAGAAACAGUACCAGCCAAACAAAGUGGGAAACAAUUAUUAUGGGUAUACUUCCUGUGAAGUCUUUGAAGAAAAAAUGGCACGAAAAACCAGAAGCUGGAGGGUCAUUUGAAGGUGAAGUUGUACCUGACAAAAAAAAUACCCAACACUCUUGAUGGUUCCCUCAUUGCGGAAGCUUUGGGAAGACCAGGGGAAGAAACGGCGGCUCCGUUUCUGAAAUGGACACCUCCGCAUGGCCAAAUUCUUUAAGAGUGAAUAAGUGAAGACCAAUUGAUACUGAACUAAUCCGAAAGGUAUUUCAAGAAGAGGCCCAAAGCCAACUUCUCAGGAAGUUCACAAACACGAGAUCCCAGCUGAUUCCGGAAGAUCCAGGAGCAGGAGACUACAUGCAAGCGAUGCUGGUGAUCGAAGCGACAAUGCAAGUGGAGGUUCCAGAUUCCUAGACGAGCCAGCAUAGAGCAGUUACAGUUGCAGUUGAACAAGGAUCAAGGAGCUGUAUUGGUGCACAAGCCAAUGUAAUGGCUCCACAACACCGGCGCCCACCUCAGCUGUCUUCUCGUGCCGUCGUAACCAUUGCAGGCACCAUUGCAAGUAUCACAACGCAGCAGCCCACUAUCUGCAGUUCCUCCCCACAAUUAUUCAUCAGGUGAAGAAGAUAAUUGCCCUAGCUGUCAAGACAAGAUAAACAUCCCCAGCGGCAUCCAUUGGACAGUGGAUAGUCGCUGGGUGUAUCUACUUUGACAAACAUGCAGCAUGACGGUUGCUUGGACCCUACCCAACUUGUUAAGAAACUCUGCAAGUCUUAGGCACCUGGAUCUGUAGACAUUCCUGAGGAAGCAGACAUCUACACGAUCAUGGUGCAACAUACCAGAGCCAGAAAUAUUUUUGAAAAUUUAUUUGCUAUAAGAAUACAUUCAUUUGAAUAACUUCACUCUUUUACAUACAAUAUUUUAUGCUUUACAACUAUUAUAACUCAGAUUGGCCCAGCUAAAAGACUAUGUACCUAAAUUUCAACCUUCACAAAACAUUUUAAAAAUAAAUAAAAACAAUUCUGAAAAUGUUUGCCUGAUAUUGCUAAAAGAUGUAUGUAUAUUUUUUAAAUUUUCAAUUUUAAAUGUAAAUUUAAUUGGGCAAUAAUUCCUGAAAAAAGUAAUAGUUAGAACUUUUACUUAGCUUUAUUGAUUAAUUGAUUUAUUUAUUUAUUUUUUCUUGCUAGGGACCCUGAAAAACUGUAAAUAAAAUAGUUCAAAAGUGGUGUUAAAAUAUGGUAAAAGCAAUGCAAAGAAGUCUUUACUAAAAUAUAAAAGCAGUGCAAAAGAUUCGUGUAAAAAUUUCAAUGUUACUUUAAACACAGUAUGAAUGUUCAUUUUUGCCUUUUAUACCCUUAAAAAUUAGAGGUAUGCGAGUACUCGAAAAUCGAGCUCGAGCCGAGUACUUACUUCAAGCUCGAGCUCGGCAAAAAAAAAUUGUUAGACUCGAUAAUUUCGAGCUUCCAACAGCAGCAAGUUAUUUGGCCGGAAAGCAUUUUGACGGUGUUUUACUAUUUACGGAAGAAAAUACAGUAAAACUCGCUUACGACGGUCCCGCAUGUCCACGUCGAGCAGAGAACUGGCGAGAUGACACCACUGCCUCCAGCCAAACAGGGAGGAGGGAGCAGCAUGACUUCCCCGACCAAUCACAACAUAGCUCUCACAAAGGAACCAAUCACAACAUAUUUCACCACCAAAAAAACUUCCAGAAGCUCUUGCAUGUUUAAUAAAAUUACAUUUUUUUCCUA